Molecule: ribosomal RNA, 119 nt
Filed under: Helianthus annuus (common sunflower)
Lineage: Eukaryota; Viridiplantae; Streptophyta; Magnoliopsida; Asterales; Asteraceae
Source: RNAcentral
GGUUGCGAUCAUACCAGCACUAAUGCACCGGAUCCCAUCUGAACUCCGCAGUUAAGCUUGCUUGGGCGAGAGUAGUACUAGGAUGGGUGACCCCCUGGGAAGUCCUCGUGUUGCAACCC